UUAUUCUCAGAGCUGCCUGGGAUUGUUUUAUCAGCAGUCAUUGUGGAUCGAAUUGGUCGUAAACUUUCCAUGAUAUCCAUGUUUAUGUUUGGUGGCAUCUUCCUCCUACCACUAGUUUUACAUCAGCAUGAAAUUAUAACAACUGGUUUAUUAUUUGGAGCCCGUAUGUUCAUCAUUGGAACAUUCACCGUCGCCAACAUAUAUGCUCCAGAGGUACGUACUGAAUAUCCACUUAUCUUGAAGGCUUUUGUUCAUUCUUGACUCUCUCUUUUAAAGGAAAGCUAUUGGAUAACAUAAAUAUGAUUAGAGAAACUCUUUUUAACUUUUAAUCAAAUUGAUUUUUUUGAUUAUGUUUUUCUUAAAUAUACCCAACCUCUGUGAGGGCGACUGGUGUUGGAGUUGCAAGUGCUGUGGGAAGAAUCGGUGGCAUGAUAAGCCCACUUGUAGCCGUCCAAUUGGUGACUGGUUGUCAUCAAGCAGCCGCAGUCCUUCUAUUUGAGGUUGUAUUACUUCUUUCAGCACUCUCUGUUCUAUUCUUACCUUUUGAAACCAAGGGGCGGGAAUUGGCUGAUAUUGUGGCUAUAUCUAAUUUAACUUGAAUCUGCAAUACUACUUGCGUGUAAAAUAUAGUGUAAAUGAAGAAUGAAUUUAUAGUCUUUCCGAUGCAUCAUCAGAGUUCUGCUCAAGCGCUAUGCAUGCUAAGAGGCGUGCGAUUAUGGGUAUCUAUUUAUGUCUGCAUAGCAUUUCUGCCAUUUAUAAGCAGGAAAGGAUUCAGAUUCAGUAGUGUGGUCAGUGGUGAAUGGGGAGGUCUUCUAACUCUAUUUUUUCUCAUGUAAUUUAAUGGUUGUGUCUGUUGGAAGAUGUAAUUAUCAAGAGUGGAUGAAUUAUGGGUGUUGAAAAUGAAGUGUAUAGAAAUGGAAUUUUUCUUUGGUUAGGCAUGGUGGUUUGUUGUACCAUUCAUUAUAGUUAUCUGUCACAAAAUUCGGUCCCCCCGAAUAAUUGUCACUAAAUUCGGUCCCCAUAUCCGGUCCUCCCAGAAUAAUUGUUUGGUGUUAUAUACGUUGCGUGUGCAAUAAGUAUAAAAAUAUAAUUAUUUUUGGAGUCCUUCUAUAUGGACAUUGGACAUUUUUUUUUUUUUUUUGUGACUCGUGUAUAGUAUUUAUUUGACAAGAAUUUUUAUAAAAUAUGAUAUUUUAGGUGUAAUUUGGAUACAUAUAGAAUUAUACAAUUGGUAUAACUUUUCUAAUUUUCCGGUCUAAUAAACCGGUCUUCCUAGAUUUUUCUUUAUUUUUGUGAUAAAAUAAAAUAAAAAAAUAUAUGAAACUAUAAUAAAAUCAAUUUUUUAAAGACAAAAGAAAAAAGAGACGUGUAACAUAAUCUAAAAAAUGAGAUUAUUAUUUAUAUUAUUAUGCUAUGGUCUUGAGGUGUACAAAAUUAUUAUUAUUAUUAUUAUUAUUAUUAUUAUUAUUUUAUUCUAUCCUCUUAUUAUUAUAUCUGGCGAUAAGUGGCACAAGUUAUUGAUGGGGCCGGAGAAGUCUUAAUCAAUCAGUCAGCCGUCGGAAGGGUUUAAUGUUAAAGCGAGGAAAGCUCUGCCUCAACUACUUCCUUCGAUAACUAAACAAGCAAAGCAAAGCAAAGCAAUCAGUCAGCCGUCGAAAGGGUUUAAGUUAAAGCGACUCUCAUCUCAGGGAAGAAGAAGAUAAGAAGGAAAGCUCUGCCUCAACUACUUCCUUUGAUUAUUAUUUGUUGCUUGCAAUCGGAAUUAAACCCACUGCUAAUAAGAAUCCCAAAUAUCUGAGCAAGCUACUUAAGAAUCUGAUGACGAAUCCCCAGGUACAUAAUCAAAUUGUUUAGUAUAAUUUAUUGAGUGUUUCAAUAAUCAGUGGAGUUCGUUUUUUUAUGGUCUGAUUAUUAUUUAAUAAUUUUUGGUUUGAUAUUUUUAGUGGGGAAGAGUACUUAUGCUCGCGCCUAAAGUUGAAACGUUAGAGGAGUUCCCAUUUGCAAAAUUUACGAUAUUAAGGAUACGUUUUUGUUUUAUAUUUUACAAAUAUAUAUGUAGGUGGUUGAUGAACAUGAUGGGCCUGUAUACACACUGGAUGAAGAUCUUGUUGCUGUUGGUUUGGGAAGUUCCAAAGUCUUGUGCUUAUUUAUGCCGGACUUGGGUCCAUUUCCGAGGCUAUGGAGGUGAUGAUUCUGUCUUUCAUAGGACCAUCUGUAAAGUCUGAGUGGAAUCUCUCCUCUACGCAAGAGAGCCUCAUAACAGCUGUGGUUUUUGCGGGCAUGUUUAUUGGUGCAUAUUCAUGGGGACUCAUUUCUGAUAAUUUUGGAAGGAGGCAAGUCCUUUCUCCAUUUCCAGGACCCUGUCUUUUAUGUAUGAGUGCAAAUUACCCUACAAUGAAAAUAUGUUCAAAAAAAAAUUCCAAAAUUUUCUGAUCAAACUGUUAGCUGUCUUAUGGCAUUUUGUUGUACCCCUCUUUUCCACUAUUUCCUUGUUGGAUGGGUCUAUUUUACUUGGUAUAAUUUUAAAAAAUUCACUUUUUAUUCUUUCUUGACUGAAUCUAUCAUAUCAUUUUGUUAUUUUUGUAGAUCAUUGUGUUUCUCAUAGAUUCCGGUUAGUAUUAUGGCCUUAUGGGUACACAGUCAUCAUCUUUACUUAGUUCUUCCCCUCCUUGAAACUAUUUCAAGUUUAUUUUUAUAACUAUUACAGAGUAUCUACUUUCUUUUGCCUUCACUAGGACUGGUCUUCUGAGCAUAGCCAUAUUGACUACUGGAGCUGGGUUUCUAAGUGCUUUCUCUCCUAAUUAUAUAUUAUUGGUCAUUCUUCAUUUUCUCGUUGGCAUUGGUCUGGGAGGUGGGCCUGUAUAUACAACUUGGUUUCUGGAAUUUGUUCCUGCCCCAAAUAGAGGCACGUGGAUGGUUAUCUUUGAGAUUUUCUGGACAAUUGGAUCAGUACUUGAGGCUUCACUUGGAUGGGUAUGUUCAUGAUUUCCUUAAUACACCUAAAUUGUCUUUCAAGUCACCUUUGUUGAUGCAAUUUCGUAUUAAUUCUAUGCUCACCCUCUCUACCACUUGGAGCUAGAGUUGUUUGUAUUUAAAAAGCAGGCAAGAAAGACUUCUUUAUCUUAAUCUGGGUUUUAAAAUCAUUUGACUUCAGUUGUCAAUCUCCACUUACAUGUAUGUUGAAGAAUCUUAUCCUUCCUCAUCAGUCUCAUCUGUAGCUUCAGGUAUUGAUAUUCAAAAAACAACUCUUCUUUUCAAAUUUUCCUUGGAGGAGUUGAAAGAGAUUUUAGUGGAUAUUCUCAACAGUCAACAAUUUGGUUUUCGUUGAUACUGUUUACCUUUUCUUUGAUUAAAACCAAGACCUAGUAAGAAACCAAUUUAUUUUUGUAACUAAUGAGUUGAUAUGCAUAUCGGGGGUUUGGAAUAAUAUUUCUUGUUCAAGAGGGAUUAUAAUAUAGAAUGAGGUGUGUCCUAGUUAGUAGGAGAGCAUCCUGACCGUGAUGUAAGGUGUGGUUAUGAGUUUCACUAGCUGCAUAAUGCAACAUGGGUCUCAUUAGUGCUGCAAUGAAGCCUUUCCCUCUCCUAUGAUAUCAUAGAUUAGGGCCAAAUCAUUGUGACACAAAAUUAAGGGAUUGUUUUGUUGUUCUGCAGAUCAUCAUGCCAAGAUUGGGUUGGAGGUGGUUGCUUGCACUAUCCUCUGUACCAGCUUUUGGAACACUUCUCUUUUAUGGACUUGCACCAGAGUCUCCAAGGUAUUUAUGUAUGAAUGGUCAAACAACUGAUGCGCAUAACAUUCUCGAAAGAGUAGCAGCAGUCAAUCGAAAGGAACUGCCUUCUGGCAUCCUCAUAUCUGGUCACAGCAGUGAGCAGGAUGAAGAAUAUGCUCCACUCGUAGAUAAUGAUUUAUCUCUCCUAGAAGGAAAGGAGGUGGUAGUUUCUAAAACCGGCUUCUCAAACCUACUGAUGCUAUUCUCACCAAAAUUGCGAUGAACAUCUCUUCUCUUGUGGGUGGUGUUCUUUGGCGAUUCAUUUUCAUAUUAUGGAAUUAUAUUGCUGACCUCACAGCUGAGCGGUGGGCAAAGUAAAUGUAGCUCAAGUCCCUUGCACUCAUAUAAUUCCCUAAACCAAGAUGCUACCCUUUAUACAGAUGUAUUUGUUACAAGUUUGGCAGGUAUGACAUAUAUAGAUUGGGUUUCUAAGUAUAUACUUAAGUUGAGAAUGUUUUUUGUAAUUAGGCCCUAUAGGUCUCUUCUUAUUACUCAAGAAAGAUUGGUAGUCAUAGCUUAUGUUAUUGUUUUUCCUCCUGUUCUCAGAGCUGCCUGGGAUUGUUUUGUCAGCAGUCAUUGUGGACCGAAUUGGUCGCAAACUUUCCAUGAUAUCCAUGUCUAUGUUUUGUUGCAUCUUUCUUCUACCGCUAGUUUUACAUCAGCAUGAAAUUAUAACAACUGGGUUAUUAUUUGGAGCCCGUAUGUUAUUGCUUGGAACAUUCACUGUCGCCAGCAUAUAUGCUCCAGAGGUACGUACGGAAUAUUCACUUAUGUUGAAUGUUGAAGGCUUUCUUUUAUUAAGGAAAGCAAUUGUGUUUUUCUUAGAUAUACCCGACCUCUAUGAGGGCAACUGGUUUUGGAGUUGCCGGUUCUGUGGGAAGAAUCAGGGGCAUGAUAAGCCCACUUGUAGCCGUCCAAUUGGUGUCUGGUUGUCAUCAAGCAGCUGCAAUCCUUCUAUUUGAGGUUGUAUUACUUAUUUCAGUACUCUGUGUUAUACUCUUACCUUUUGAAACCAAGGGGCGGGAAUUGAUUGAUACUGUGGCCAUAUCUAUUUUAUCUUGAGUCUGUAAUACUACUACCGUGUAAAAUAUAGUGAAAAAAUGAAGAAAAGAUUCCUAAAAAGCCUUUCC
Molecule: long non-coding RNA, 4897 nt
Filed under: Panax ginseng (ginseng)
Lineage: Eukaryota; Viridiplantae; Streptophyta; Magnoliopsida; Apiales; Araliaceae
Description: long non-coding RNA (PGIN_LNC012378)
Source: RNAcentral